Molecule: ribosomal RNA, 689 nt
Filed under: Parachironomus sp. PAC
Lineage: Eukaryota; Metazoa; Arthropoda; Insecta; Diptera; Chironomidae
Description: eukaryotic LSU rRNA
Rfam family: Eukaryotic large subunit ribosomal RNA
Source: RNAcentral
UUUUCUACACGAACCAAGGAGUCUAUCUAGUAUGCGAGUAAAUGGAUAAAUUGUGAAAUCUAUUUGCGCAAUAAACUUGACUGUUCAAUGGGAAUACGAGAAUGGAUGCCUUAUCGGUGUCUCUCUCUUCCAUCCCGGGGUAUUUUCAUCAACAUAUGCUUGCAUAUGGAAAAUAUACCAUGAGCACACUGGAUACGACCCGAAAGAUGGUGAACUAUGCCUGAUCAGGUCGAAGUCAGGGGAAACCCUGAUGGAGGAUCGAAGCAGUUCUGACGUGCAAAUCGAUUGUCAGAAUUGGGCAUAGGGGCGAAAGACCAAUCGAACCAUCUAGUAGCUGGUUCCUUCCGAAGUUUCCCUCAGGAUAGCUGGAGCAUAGAAGAGUUGUAUUGCUAACUCAUACCUGGUAAAGCGAAUGAUUAGAGGCCUUAGGAACGAAAUGUUCUUAACCUAUUCUCAAACUUUAAAUGGGUAUGUAAGUCAACAUACUUGACUGAUGUUGACCUUUAGUCGUGCUUGCGCGACACGUAAGAUUGUAUGCGCCCAGUGGGCCAAGUUUUGGUAAGCAGAACUGGUGCUGCGGGAUGAACCGAACGCAUUGUUAAGGCGCCCAAAUAAACGACGCAUCAUCGAUACCAUGAAAGGUGUUGAUUGCUGAAGACAGCAGGACGGUGGACAUGGAAGUUGUCAUC